Molecule: long non-coding RNA, 4517 nt
Organism: Setaria italica (foxtail millet)
Lineage: Eukaryota; Viridiplantae; Streptophyta; Magnoliopsida; Poales; Poaceae
Exons: 2
Source: RefSeq, a predicted model, not a curated record
UGUACCAUGACCCCCAGGUGCCGCGCCUCAACCCCUCUCCCUCCACUUUUCCCAACCCACGGAAUGAGUCGCCCCAUUCCUCCUCGCUGUUCUGGUGCCCUCGGUUUAGCUCCUAGAGGGCCGGAGCAUCCCCUCCCCGAGCUCCAGUGCCGUCUUCCCCUUCUUCCAUGGCGGCCUGGGCGCGAGGUAGGAGACGACCGGGGCACCGUUUGCCCCGGCACGUUCCGCCCCUCCUCUCAUAACCGCCAGGCGGGCACCACCCGAGGGGUGACGGCGUCACCUCCACCGGCGCCACCCCGCCUCCCGGUUCCCUGGGCGCGGUCCACCUGAACCGGUGGCCCAGCAGGCCACUCAGUCCACCGGCCCAGGGAGCCAGCGCACGGCACAGUACGAGCCACGCCCUUCACCCUUGCGCCAACAGCUACAAAAAUGCUACAGCCACCCGGUAAGUGUACACACCAAAUCUAUUUAGCCCUUCUACCUUUCCAAAACUUCCCCAAAAACCCACCAAAAAUACUAGAAAAUAUUUAUAAACCUAUCCAUGUAUUCAUUUCCCAUUUUUCACCUCAUACAAGCCCUUUCUACAUAAAGUCUCCUCCCACAUAAAUAGAAAACCCCUUUAAACGCACCUAGAAAUUCGCAUCUUGCCCAUUUCAAUUCCAAAAGCCCUAGGAAAAUUCCUAAAAAUAUCUUAGUGCCACCUACUCUUAUUUCCAUGGUCACUUUGCCCGGGCUCCGCCUCAGUGGCCGAAGUGAGUCUGUCGAGUAAGUUUUGGCCUCGAUUCUCCAUGCGCCUUAUCUUGCCCGAGCUCCACCCUUGCGGUCAAAGUGAGUUCGUCGUGCAAACUCUCUGGCUUCCACUUGAUCUUGCUCGACAACGUCUAUUGCCUUGUGUACUAUCCCCUAGUAUUAGGACAAACCAACUAUCACACAAGCUCACAAGUUCCACCCCUAGAUAAGGAAACUUGUCCAGCUCCACCCACCGUAGGGUCGAAGCCGAGCUUGUCGUACAAGUUUCCUAAAAUCCACUCCCACCACCAAAUAUCUAAUCUUACCCAAAGCCUACUCCAAAACCCAGUCGGGAUGCUGCCCAACUAAAACCCUAAUCCUUAGCCCCUUCUAGUCGUAGUGCUACCCAUCCAAAAUCUCAAAUUAUUCCAAAACCUAGCUAUUGUGAUGCCCAAUACAAACCACACAUAUCAACCCAAUGUAGCUGAUAUGCCGCCCAACCAAAACCCAAGAUAGUAGUAAAACCUAGCCAUCAUGCCACCCAUCCAGAACCCUAAAAAAAUCCAUUCUUAAUUCUUUAAGAAAUUCAACAAUUCCAUCCAUUAAUUAUUUAGAAACUCAUUUCUAAAUAAUUAAUAAACCAUUCAUCUUUUAUCCGGAGAUUAUCCUUUAGAAAUCCGAUAAUUCCUAAAACCACCAUCAACCAUCCUUUUCCAUUUUCUUUUGUCAUAUAUUGAUUGCUAGAUAUUGAUUCUAGUAUUGUUUGCUUGUUUUCAUGCUUGUUUGAGCCGAGGAUACACCGAUCAGAAGCCAAGGAUUCAGAAGAUAUGAAGCCAAAGUUCCGGCCGUCUAGAAAAUGCGUAGAUAUGUUAGGCCUGGCUAGGCUCCAACUCCGUCGAGAAGAUCUGGACUCCAGAAGUUUCAAUAGAAGCUCCAACGACUCCAACGAGAAGCCAGGGCCCUGGUCAACCUAGGAAAAGGCACUAAGGAUUUUUAAUGAAGGCAAGAUCUAGCAUCCACCCCUUGAUCAUACUUUUGCCCUAUUUUGUUUCAUAGAUAAUAAAAUUUACUAAGAUAAUAAUUUAGACUCAUCACAUUUCUAUAGGAACCUAAGGGCAACCCAUCUCUAUUUCCCCUUCCACCUUGACUUGAAGCCGUUUCUAACCAAAAAUUCCAUAAAUGACCCCGAACACAACUUCAUCGAUGAUCGAGCAUCAUUUUAGUAGAAAUUUCUUAGAAAAGAUCAUAUACAAUGUUUUCUUUUGAAAAAACCCAAAAAAUGUGAGUUUAAUAAAAUGAACUAACUAAAGAGUUAGAAACCCCUAAUGACAGGAUAAGAAAGUAAGGGGGUAGCCUCGCCAAAGCAUCUUGUCCCAAAAGCUUACUUCAGUCGUAUAAGGACUAGCUCACAUGAAAGUCUUUCUAGUGAAACGUGCAACCAUACGUGCCAAAAAGGUACAACCUUUGGGAGUGCCUGCUUAUGUGAGAUCUUGGUUCACACCCCGCUAGCUGAACCUAGAAAUCCAUCCCAAGGGGCCACGGUGCGCAACAGAUAUACUGGAGCAGGACCUUCACAUAGUCACAGGUCUGGUCGGCACGGGUUGAUUGAGAGGGUCGGAGACCCUAUGGGCAGAGGCCCUGUUUAUUUUGUGCACAUUUUCCUAAGUUGAUAUCCGCGUAGCGGGUGAUAGUCACCCCUAUUUAGACCCCAAUAUGUCCGUGGAUGGACCUAGGGAAUGCGCCUAGAAAUAGGCACGGGCGGGUAUGGAUCUCGUAGGUCAAUACCGCCUACCGAAAGGUAUGGGCUGACUGGACGUAUGGGUAAAGUGUACAAACUCUGCAGAGUCAUAAAUCUAUCUGGAUAGCUGAGGCUCACGGUCACAAGCCCACAUAGUUAAAGUUCCCAUCGAUUAGCAAUCAUAACUUGAAUGUGGUGAGUUAGGGCUGAGUUCGUAAAAGAGUAGUUGAGAAUGAGGCGUAUGGUGGCUCAGGGGGACCUAAUGGUCCCUGAGCUCCUUAAAAUUUGGGAAUUAGUAGGGAAGGUAACAUUCCCCUCCAAGGCCAACAACAUAAUAAAUAUGCUUUCUUUCUCCUCCUUUUUCAGAACUCCCCUCACCUUGCAUAAAAUAGGUUUAUUGAAAAAUCACACCUCAUUCCCUUCCCUUGAUCAAUCCUGCAUUUAAUAUAAUUUCAACGUUAGGAUUUGCUGAGUACCAACCAUAAGUGUACUCAGCCUUACUUUCAUUUAUACAAAUCUAAGGUUCCCGGUGCUAUAGCUCAUUUUGCCAGUGGAAUGGGCGCCAGCUCCGCUCUCUGCUACACAUAGGUGAAAUUUGUUUUCCAUUAUUUUUAUACGUCCUUUAUUGUUUGUGAUACUAAUCUAUGAUGAGAACCGGAUUAGCUACUGAUCCAGGACCUCAUGCAGGUAAUCAACGAGACCUUUAGAAUAAGGCCCCCACAAGGCAGCACCACUUUGUGUAGUAGAUGCAUAUUCUUGUGAAUCUAGAUCCUAAGGAGGGAACGCUAAUCUAUUUUUGUUGCUAUCCUGUAUCAAUCUCUGAUGUUUAGAUUAGUCUAUGUCUACACAUAUUUGUAAGCUCGGUUUUGUUAGGAAGAUUAGUAUAAAGUGAAAGCAUGCAUUCCACUUGUUCCGCAUACUGAUGAACCUUGAGGAAAUACUCUAAAGGAAAAGCUACAACUGAUCCGUGCGCUUGCGGUUCUUGAUUUGGCGCGCUAACCAUCGCUAACAAGUUUUCAUGCGCUGUUGCUGGGGAACAAGUCAGUUUGCUGUGUUUGAUAUUGGUAUUAAUUUUGCUAACCCACUAAUACUUAACUCUUGUGUAGAUUUUUUUUGUUUUUAUUUUUCUUUUUAGUGCCUAGAUGGUUCUAUUUGUCCCACAAAUGGAUAACGAAGAAAUGUCUCUAUGGGAACUAGCAAUGCCAUCAUCAGGGGACUUUGAGAUGCAAAAAUCAGAUUUGGCUCUUGCUACGACCCACUACAAUGAAGCAUGGAAUCAUUAAGUUGGUCGCAACAAACCCCUUUAGAAGAUUGGAGGACGACAACCCAUAUAGACAUCUUCAGCACUUCACGAUGAUAUGCAACACGGUGCAAAAAGAAGAAGUUAUGACCGCUUGGUUCAAGUGGAAUCUGUUUCCAUUUUCUCUUGUAGGUGAAGCGCGAAGAUGGUACACACUUGUUUCUGUUGAAGUGAAGGGAAAUUGGGAUGAGCUCAUGAUGAAAUUCUGCUAUAUUUUCCCAUGAGGAAGGUUUCAAGAGUUAAGGAAGUUAGUGAUUUGUUUUAACCAAGGAGAAGACGAUGAAGGGAGUGACGAAGCUUGGAAUUGGUUUAAUGGACUACUCGAACAAGAAUAUGUAAGAAUAUGUGCAGGAGGUGAUUUAAUGGAGAAGACGCUUAAAGAAGCUGCACGUAUCUUAUAAAGGAUAAGUAAUGGGGAAGCAGUGGCUCAAGGCUGGCAGAAACGCUUUCGGAAGGAGCGUAGCGACAAAAAGAAGCUUUGGUAGGUGGAUAUGGAAAUUCUAGAAGAGAUCUGUAUAGCAUGAUUUUUGGGACAUAGGCUGAAUUCCUUCAUUCAAAAAGAGAAUUUUGAUCGACUCUCGUUCCCACCUCCUCUGGUCACAUACUCAGUCCUUCAGAUAUACAGCUAUAAAUGCUCCCUACUUCAUUGCAUCAUUUCACUGAUCGGUGUUGUUCACGGUGGAGAUAAAUGUAACCGAAACUAGAGUUAUGUUUCAAUAAUUUCUAUUCGUUCCAGGAUGUUUCUUGUAA